GGUCCAGUCGCUAGCUGAGAUCUGCUGGGCUUCUCGGGGUUUGGUAUCUUGGCACUGAGGUUAACAGCUGCCGUGAAGAUGACUGGGAAGAGCUACAAAGAGAGCAAAGAGCAGAACAAACUGGCCACUGUCAGGACACCUGGGAUUCUUUGUCCUUUCACAGAAGAGACGGUUUCUCUGUAUUGUUUUAAAAGCUGUCCUGGGACUCGCUCUGUAGACCAGACAGGCCUGGAACUCACAGAGAUCCGCCCCAGUGCUGGGAUUAAACGCAUGCACCACCACCGCCUGGCUCAAUUUGAUGGUUUUUAGCUCUUUUAUUUUUGCAGCUCUUGGAAUUAAACCCAGCUAUAGGACAAGCUGCAGGAAAGUGUGCAGAUGUGAAGAGAAGUAUUGGAAAUCUGAUAUGUCGGACACUUGAUGACAUUGUCCCUGCUUCACAGAGAGACGGUGAUGGUGAAGGACACAGAACAGUUCCCCAUGACUAUCCCAAGUUCCAUCCCACGGGUCUGGGGUCCCUUAGAUCCUAGACACUGAACUAUUACUGAGUCAACAGUGAUGACACAUUGGCUUAUAUCUUACUGCCCCCCUGCUCUAGAAUGUCCUAAGUACCUUUGCAUAAAGUCUGGCCCACCUUCCAGCAUCUUCCUUAUGGGUAAAUGACAUGGUUCCCAUGCCUUCUCUAGCUGGUCUCAGCCUCUCCUUGUGUUGUCUCCAGGUCCUAUGAGUAUCUCUCCUACAUCAAACACUCACUGAUGCCAUUGUUUCUUCUGUCAAUGUUUCCUUUAUUUUAAUCCGACCUGUCCCUGUUCUUUUAGUCUAUCUACCCCAUAGCUAUUGUCUCAGUGUCCUACUGUGUUUGUUCUUUAAAUCGUCAUUGUCAUGAGUCUCAGGAUCCCAGGAUACACACACACACACACACACACACACACACACACACACACACACACACACACCCUCAGGUGGCUUUGGCUCUUCAGCUGUGAUUACCUCCGCACCAAAUGGAGCUCUUAAAUUCCCUGUACCUGAGUAUCUGUCCCCAGCUGGGUUGCUCCUGCUGGAGAACCAGAUUUGUUCAGCCUUUUUGUUUUUAAAUUUUUUGUGAAUUGUGUUCUGUUUGUUCUGUGACUCUGCAGAAAUGUUUGAAGACAGUUUACAAUAAAAAUCUCCCUCUCUGUAUCUCUCACACACAUACAAACACACACACACACAGAGAGAGAGAGAGAGAGAGAGAGAGAGAGAGAGAGAGAGAGAGAGAGAGAGAGAGAGACAUCUGAGUAAUGGAGAAAGACAAAGAAAAUAAGUAUACAAUAAGUAUGCGUACUGUUUUUCUCAAGUGUCUCUCAAACCCACUUUCUAAAGACUCACAGACUGUCAAGGUUCAUUGUCCACAUUAGACCCUGAGUUAACAGUGCCAUAACAGUGACAGGUUAUGGCAUAGACCCUCCAUUAAAAAAAAAAGAGUUAAACAUGUGCUGUAUUUUUUAAAUGUGAGUUAUAAAAGGCAUUGUCUUGGUUUAAUCUCCUGCAUUCACCAAAAGAUCAGGCCCAAGAUCAAAAGGUACUUACAGUAAAGUUAUGUUGUCACCAAGCCACAUUAACUAAGUUAAUGUACCAACCUACUGAGAAAUCAGAAGAGAUAAAGAGCUAAUUCCUCAGACCAUUCUUUGCUUUCACAUUUAGAAAGGACAACCUGAAGUAGCCCCAUGUUGACCCCAUCCACUAUUUCUGUAUUGUCUAUCACCCGCCUGACAAGAAAGUAACUCUGAAAUGACCAAACCGCUUGUUCUUUGAUGCUUUUUCAGCCUUUCUUUGAUCAUAAAACAACCUCUCCUUUUACUCAAUCCAUCAGAACCGUUUUGUUUUGUUUUUAAUGGAGUGGAAAUUUG
Mesocricetus auratus (golden hamster) is the source of this 1886-nucleotide long non-coding RNA. RefSeq lists it as uncharacterized. The record is from RefSeq and is a predicted model, not a curated record. NCBI's taxonomy places the organism in Eukaryota, Metazoa, Chordata, Mammalia, Rodentia, Cricetidae. The transcript is spliced from 4 exons.